GUAUUCGAGUUUUUGAUUUACUCUGAAUGUUAGACUUGCAAUUGAAGACGUGUGAGAAGAAAAUGAAGCCCAGUCUUCCCUUUCUCCCCCGAGAGAGAGAGAGGAGUUUGAAAGGGCCCUUACAAUGCACACAAGGUGGGUAUGGAUUUGAAAGUGCCAUAAACACUUAUUGUGAAUGAUCCUUCCGCAGGUUCACCUACGGAAA
Molecule: unclassified non-coding RNA, 205 nt
Filed under: uncultured fungus
Lineage: Eukaryota; Fungi
Description: sequence contains ITS1
Source: RNAcentral